CUUCAAACAUGCAACUGUAACCCCAAUUCUAAAGAAGCCCAAUCUUGACCCUAACUCCCCAUCCAACUAUCAUCCUAUCUCGCUACUGCCUUUUGCAUCCAAGAUCCUUGAAAAAAUUGUGUAUGUGAGAUUGACAGACUUGCUCGAGUCCAACUCUCUGCUAGACCCGCUUCAGUCUGGUUUCUGCGCUAAGCACUCUGUGGAAACGGCACUGACCAAAGUAUCCAAUGAUAUACUCGCUGCAAAAUCUCGUG
Pelobates cultripes (western spadefoot toad) is the source of this 254-nucleotide non-coding RNA. The record is from the annotation of a GenBank genome assembly. Lineage: Eukaryota; Metazoa; Chordata; Amphibia; Anura; Pelobatidae.